AUUAGAUAUAAUUUAUUUAAUUGAAAUAACUUAAUUUUUAGUAUUUUUUAAAGAAUUAAUAUUUAUAAUUUAUAGUUUAGCUUUAACUGUAAAGGUUUAUUAUAUUUGUAAUUUAAAAGUAAAAUUUAUUAUUUGUACCUUUUGUAUCAGGGUUUAAUCAAUUUAAUAUAAUGAAAUUAUAUUUCCCGAAUUUAAAGGAGAUAUUAACAAUUGUUAUUUAAUGUAUCAUUAUUAUUAAUAAAUUGUUAAUAGUUGCUAUAUGCUAUUCAUCUUUAAUUUAUCUGGUUCUUUAAUAAUUGAAUUUAAUUCAGGAUUAAUUAAAUUUAUUAGGGUAUUUUAUUCAUUAUUAUGUAAAUUAAUCUAAAAUUAAAAGGGAUAAGCUUUUUAAUUUGUCUAUAAUUAUUUAUUUUAUUGGAUUUUGUAGGAUUAGAAAUUUUCAUCAUAUAUUUUGUUAUAAUUAAGUUUAUUAGAUAAUUUAUUUAAUAUUUAAUUUAGAUAGUUAUUAAAGAUUAUUAUAUAAUUACAUAAUAAUAGUUAUAAUGAUAAAAUUAGUAGAUUAUUUUAAUUAAUAUAUAGUAAUUCGGCAAAUUUAUUCUUCACCUGUUUAACAAAAACAUGUCCUAAUGUAAACUUGAUUUUUAUUAGGUCUGACCUGCUCAAUGAUUUAUUAAAUAGCCGCAGUAUUUUGACUGUGCGAAGGUAGCAUAAUCAUUUGUCUUUUAAUUGGAGGCUUGUAUGAAUGGUUGGAUGAGGGAAUAACUUUCUUUAUAUUAAAAAUUGAAUUUAAUUUUUGAGUUAAAAAGCUUAAAUAUAUAAAUGGGACGAGAAGACCCUAUAGAAUUUUACUUUUAUUAAUAAUUAAAUUAUUAUUUUGGUUAUUCUUAUUAUUAUUAAUAAUAAAAGUUUUGUUGGGGUGACAGUGAGAUUAUUUUAACUCUCAUAUUAAUUAUAGUUGUUUAUGAACAUGUUUUAAGAUCCUUUAUUAAGGAUAUCUAGAUUAAAUUACCUUAGGGAUAACAGCGUAAUCUUUCUGGAGAGUUCUUAUCGAUGGAAAGGGUUGCGACCUCGAUGUUGGAUUAAAAUUAGAUUUAAGUGUAGAAGCUUAAUUUCUAAGUCUGUUCGACUUUUAAAAUUUUACAUGAUCUGAGUUCAGACCGGCGUGAGCCAGGUCGGUUUCUAUCUUUUUAUUAAGAUUAAAUGUGGGUUAGUACGAAAGGACCAUUCACAUCAAAUAAUUUGUUAAAUAAUUGAAUAUUUUUAA
RNAcentral lists this ribosomal RNA (1261 nucleotides) under Stiretrus anchorago. Its description in RNAcentral is "16S ribosomal RNA". The stretch from base 819 to 1182 matches the Rfam family "Archaeal large subunit ribosomal RNA", at positions 2154 to 2712 of the family's 2987-position model. Lineage: Eukaryota; Metazoa; Arthropoda; Insecta; Hemiptera; Pentatomidae. The record is from RNAcentral.